CAAAAUUCGGUCAUCUUCGAUGGCCCGCAGCCUCACAUUGCUAGCCUGCUUGACACUAUCAGGGCUGAGGCCCGACUGUGGGCGAAAGCAGGGGCAGUGGGUCUAGCAGCACUUCUUCCAACUUAG
Molecule: ribosomal RNA, 126 nt
Filed under: Triticum aestivum (bread wheat)
Lineage: Eukaryota; Viridiplantae; Streptophyta; Magnoliopsida; Poales; Poaceae
Description: partial small subunit ribosomal RNA
Source: RNAcentral